This 12114-nucleotide long non-coding RNA is filed under the name Homo sapiens (human). RNAcentral describes it as "HSALNT0389305". The record is from RNAcentral. Lineage: Eukaryota; Metazoa; Chordata; Mammalia; Primates; Hominidae.
AGAUUCUCACUCUGUCAUCCAGGUGGAGUGCAGUGGUAUGGUCUCUGCUCACUGAAACCUCUGCCUCUUGGGUUCAAGUGAUUCUCCUGCCUCAGUGGGAUUACAGGCGUGUACCACCAUGCCCAGCUAAUUUUUUGUAUUUUUAGUAGAGAUGGGGUUUUAACAUGUUGCCAGGCUGGUCUUGAACUCUUGGCCUCAAGUGAUCCCCCAACCUUGGCCUCCCAAAGUAUUGUGAUUAUAGGUGUGAAAUACCACGCCCUGCCUUAAAUUAUUAUUUUAAAUUAAAAAAAUGAUGUUUAGAUGCCACGAUGUAGGUGGCAGUACCUUAACUAUAUGCGUGUCGUCAGGCCCAAGGGCCUCUUCCAUCCUUGUCAAGGGGAGUGCUAACCUUCUCUCCUUUCAUACAAUCCAGCUCUCUUAUUUUGAAUCUGCGUGUAUAUACAUGUUGGUUGAGACCGGUGCAGAGUGAUUGAGACUCGGGCUUGUGGGUCUGGUAGGUUCGAGGACUAACUCCAUCGCUUGGGAGCAUGUGGCCUUGGGCAAGUUACUUAAUCCACUGGGAACAGGGGUAUCGUAACCAUCAGAUGGGGAUACUGUCUGGGAUUCCCAUCCCCUAUAUGGGUCUCAAUCCUCUCAGUUUCUGUGGUCUAACAACUAUGUGCCAGGGACUGGGCCAGGCAGAGGCUGGGGUAUCCGUUAGUAAGAUGGGCACGGUCCCUCGCUGCCUGCUCUGAUUUUUGCCCCAGCUCUGAGAGCAGAUUAAUGGUAUUGUAAGUCCUCAUUGUAUGGUUGAAGUCGAGACUCAGGGGAAGAGACCCUCCCAGAAUCUCCCAGCUUGCCUCGGUACCAUAGGAGCAGGACCCCCAGGCUUCCAGGUGCAGCCUCCCAGGUCGGAAGCCAGCAAGCUGGGGCUGUAGAACAGGAGGUGGCUGGGCCUGGAUUCGCUGGCACUGAGUCCUUAAAGGAACCCUGGGUAGCAGAUGUGGCCGCCUUGUACAUCUGCUCAGCAGUGCAUCACUCCUAAAGGCCCAAAGACUCGUCCGGUCCUGACACUGAGCACGUUUCAGAAAAGGUCCCAGGAAAGACAUUUGAAUUGCCACAGCUGCUCAAGGCUUGCUCCCUCACUCAUGCUGUGGGCAAACUAAACAUCCUCUAGUGGGACCAGGCAAGCAGGGGACAAAAUGGAAUGGGGGUGCGGGGGAGGAGAAAAUAAUUUGAUAUUCCAAAAAAUGCUGCAGAGUAAUCAUUUUGGGGGUGAAAAUCAGAAUUUCUUGGGACUUAGACUUUUUUAUGGCUCAGUGGUGUUUUUCUUUAGAAUUUUGGACUGGAGGUAGGGAUAGACCAUAAUCUUUUCAGCACCCAAGAGCCUUCAGCAGGCCUCACUGGCUCUGGGCAGGGGGCAGGGCUUACAGGACCCAGAGCAGGUGACAUCUUACCCACUGUGGAUACUUCCUCCCUCCUCCCUUUGGCACGGUCUGAGGAAUUUUGAAAUCACCCCAUAGCCAGACCCCUUGCAUUUGCUGCCCAGGAGAACCGGGCAGGGAGGUGCCAUGCGGAAAGUCCCGCUGCCUGAUUUUCCUCUGAGCUCAUCACUGCAGCCUGAGAGCCCCCUUCUCUGUCAAGUGGGUGACUGAACUGAAUACACCAGACCCCCCUUGGCAUUCUUCUAAGAUCCUAAGGAGGAGGAGCUGAGGAAGGCACGGGGUGGAGCCUGGGGCUGUGGUUUGGAGGAUGGGAGGGCUGGGGGAGGGAUUCAGAGAUUGCAGCUGGGAAAUUUGGAUCGGCCUAUGAAGACUUUGUGGUUCAUUCUCAUGAAACUCGCUUCCUCUCACUGGAUUUCUGCCCUGGGGGAUGUGGGGUUCAAGUGAAAACACUGGCUUUUCCUUCUUGGUGACUGAGGCUUAAAUUCUGGUCUCCCAAGCAAAUAUUUAAGAAAUAACUCUCUUUUCCCUCCUUGUCCAUUGUAAAACAAACCCUCUUUUUCGCCCAUGUCUCCCACCCUCCUGAAAAGAAUUCGGUUGUCUUGCUGCUUACUAGCUGGUAGCACCUGGCUUUCCAGCAGGCUGGUUGAAAACAGAAAAUGCUUCUCUGCUUAAGACAGGGAAAGGGCGUGGGCUUUGGCAUCAGAAACCUGGCUUUCCUGUAGACUAGCUGUGUCGGGCCUGGGGCGUCUUCCCAAGACUCAAUUUCCCUGUCUGUGAUAAUACGUGCCUACUUCUCAGGGCAUUAUAAGGACUGAACAAGAAUGUCUGUGUGAAACACCAGGCGCAUGGUCGGGGGUGGUACAUGGUAGUUCUUCCCGGGUGACACCAUAUUCAUCCCAGGGUCCAUGGGACAAUGAGGUCAAAGAAGGACCAGCUGAGGCUGGUGUGCCUGCUUGCUGGCUUAGUAUCUGGGGAGAAAACACUGGAAGAAAAGCAAAUCCUUGCUGGUGGGGUGUGGGGGUGAGUUUGUGUGGGUCCUGCCUCUUCAGUGAGACAUGUCUACCACUUGGGAGGGGCGUAGGGUGGAGGUGGGGGGCCAGGAGUCACAGCCUUUUCCGGGGGUUGGGUUCAUGCGGCCGCCACUUAAGCCUAUCUGAGGGGAGAGGUUAGUGGGAGAGUCAGGAUGAGUUUCUGCUGAAUUCCUUCUUGUCAAGCUUGCUUUUGUGGGCUUAACAUGAGAAGGGUGGGGAGGGGGCCAUAUCUUAAAAAAGAGAAAGGCUGGGUUCAGUGGCUCGCGACUAUAAUCCCAACACAUUAGGAGGCUGAAGUGGGAGGAUCAGCUGAGGCCAGGAGUUCAGACCAGCCUGGCCAACAUAACAAAAUCUCAUCUCUACAAAAAUAAAAAAUAAAUUAGCUGGGUGUGGUGGCUUACACCUGUAGUUUCAGCUACUCUGGAGGCAGGGGCGAGACAGGAUUGCUUGAGCCAGGAGUUUGAGGCUGUAGUGAGCUAUGGUCACACCACUGUACUCCAGCCUGGGCAACAUAGUAAGACCCUGCCUCUGAAAAAGUAAAAGGAAAAAUUAGUCAGGCAUGGUGGUGUGUGCCUGUAGUCCCAGCUACUCAGGAGGCUGAGGUGGGAAGAUCGCUUGAGCCCAGGAGUUCAAGGUUACGAUGAGCUGUGAUUGACUGGGUCACUGCACUCCAGCCUGGGCAAUAGAGGAAGACCCUGUCUCUCUUGAAAAGUGUCUUUGCUUUUGAAACUUCGAGGGCGAUUAAACAGAUACUGAAGUACAAGCAAAAUGUUAGUCUUCAACUUGCCCAGCCAGACCACUGUGUAUCUGGGAAAAGUCAACUAGACUGCUUGCUCCAGCUGGUUGGUCUGGUUGGUGUGGAGGGUGAACCCUCCUCUGGCCCGAGGCGUACACCCUCUCUCCUCCUUCUGUGUCUGGUGAUGGCAAACGUUUAUCUUUGCUCAGGCCUGGGUGCACGCUAACCUCGGCCAAAUCUCUGAAUGUUCAAACAUCUGCCAAAAUACCACAUUUCGACAAUGGGCCUUCUCUAUAGAGAUGAGGUUACGGGGGCAGUACUGGGAUGCUGGAAAACCACUUAAACUAAACUGCGGGAAGGGGCAGGGUCCAGGAUCCUGACUUUGAGUGUAAGGGGUGGGGAAGGAGCAGGGGGCAGCUCCUUGCCAUACAGAGAGGCCUGAGGACCAGCUCCCUGCUUCCAGAGCCGGAGCGGGGAGGGGGCUGCUGCCAACCUAUCUUGGCAUUCUCCCUUUCGUCCUUGGGGUAGAUUUCGUUGUAAUUAGACAAGUUGUGACAAAUAGCCCAUUGGUCUUUGGGCUGGAGAAUUGUGCCGAGUCCUGCCUGGAAACCCAGCCUUGUUCACUUGGGAGCCAUAAUUAGGCAAGAGAACAGUUCAUGAGCCCUUUGAUUCAAUAAAGACCCUUUUAUGAUGUUGGUUUUUCCCAGAAAAAUCAUACCACUUUGCUCCAUGUAUUGCAUUUAGAUGUGUAAUCAUAUUAGAGCUAAGCAGCCCAGGGGACUGAAGUUGUGUAGCUGGGGUUGUAGGGGCAGAAAGGUGCAAUCCCUUUCCUCCCCGUAAGGGUCACGGCUGACAUUUCUGUAACAAAGACAGGUUAACAGGAGAAAAGUUUGACAAAUUUAUUUAAUCAGUGUUUUACAUGACAUGAGAGCCUUCAGAAGUAAGACCCAGAGAACCAGGGAAAACUAUUUUUAUGCUUAGAUUGGAGGAAGAAGGGACAACCAUCUAGGAAUGUGAUAGGACAAAAAGGGUACGACCUAAUGUAAUAGACAGAGGGGACCACCCAGCAAGGCCUGUCUAUUCAGAUGCUUUUUGGCCUCACUGUGCAGCAUGUCUGGGGCGUAUGGGGCAGGACCCCUUUGGGAUGAGGGGUGAGAAGGGAGAGAGUGACCUUUGUAGAUACUAUGUCUUGCUUUGGGGGAGAGGAGUUCUACUUCCUAUGACCCACCUUGGGGAAGAGGAAUUCUGGUUUCUGUGCCUGGCUGCUGGGGAGAAAGAGGGGCAAGAGACAGAAGGGUGGAAGAAGGUCAGAGAGAACUUGCUUUCUCCUUUAGUUCAAAGUGCUCAGUGUACCAAAGCGCCAGGCUCUGGGGUAUUGUGUUCUCAGCCCCAUGGCGUAAAGCCUGUUACCCGGUCUUCAGAGAAAAACAGUGUCCUCAGAAAAAAAGAAAAUGACAAGGAACACUUCUAAAGAUUUUCUCUCUUGUCAUCUAAAGAACAUUUUCUCCCUUCAGAGUGAGAAGUGACCCAGGGGGAAAAACCAGAAAGUGAAACUAACUUGACAGGCCAGUGGCAGCGGCAGCCCCUGGUGCCUGCCCUCUGCAGUCCUGUGUCGGCCCAGGCCACGCGUGCCCAGCAUGGUCGAUAUUUGUCAGACGGAUAGCACGUGUCCAGCCAAGGGCCAGAGAAAAUGCCCCCAGAGGAUGCUUGCAUCCUUUCCACAAAGAGUUGUGGUCAGCCCACUGGGGUCUCCACCGGGGUGGCAGGGCUGCAGAUGCUGGUGUGUGCAGGUGGCAGUUCUCGGCCUCCUCCUCAUUGCCUCCCUGUGAGGGGCAGUCAGCCCUGACUACAUAUAGCCCUGGAGCUUGCGGGCAGCUUUCAGCUCGUUGGGAAGGUGUGCUGGGCCUGCGACAUUGACCGGACAGUUCUUCCAGGCAUGAGAGGGAUGCCCUGCCCAGGUCGCUGUCACAGGCACACCCCCUCCCACCAGCCACCCUCUUGCCUUCUUACCCCAAGACCAUGUUGUCAGGCAGGCCAAAAGCAUUUCCCAAUCAUGGAGUCAGAUGUGUCCCAGAAAUCUGCCCUGUGCCCAGGAGAGGUCGAAAUCGCCAGUGGAAUCAAGAACCUCUUUCCCAAUUUGGGGUUUAGAAAUCUCUGGCAAUGAGGAAAUUUCUGGUAGUCAUUUGUAAGAGUUACUCUAUUAAGAAAUAGAGAUAGAGGGUAUGACAUUUCAGAAUGCUAAAAUUUUGUUGCAUUAGAAAGGGGGAAAAUCCGUUUACUUCCCAAACAUCUGGUGGGAGUUAUCACCAAAAUAUAUUUUCAGAUAUCCUCUAAUGCAGAAAAACUGUAUUUUAUAGGACGUGGUUUAUCUGUUUGUAGAUAAUGUGAUUAAAAUACUUCUGCAGUGUCGCUACUAUCUUAAGGUGACUCUUUUUAACCUUCAUACUGUAGGCUUUUUAAAAACACAUAGAGAUGGGGGUCUCACCGUGUUGCCCAGGCUGGUCUCGAACUCCUGGGCUCAAGCAAUCCUUCCACCUGAUCCUCCUAAAGUGCUAGGAUUACAGGUGUGAGCCACCAUGCAUGGCCUACUUAGGCUUUUUGGAAGAUACUUUACACUUUUUGGAAGAAGUGCUAUUUCUUCUGGAUACUUUACACUUUUUGGAAGAAGGGCUAUUAAGUUAUAUAUAUGUAUACAUUGCUUCCCCCCCCGCCCCGCCAAAGGAGUAUAAUUAGAGCAUCUGAAACCAGAUUAUCCAAUUAGUACAUUUUUCUAAUUAGCUGUUAGGAUUUCGUGAUGAGAUAAAUUAUUUUAGAUUUCCAAGUGGAACUUUGGCCACAGGGAGGCUCUAAGGAAGUACACAGGGGAGAAAAAUAAUGGGUUUUUAAAGUUUUGACUCCACCCACUCACCUGCUCCCCCAAAAACCUAAUGUGCCUGCCCAUGAGGCAGCAACAGUGACCAGAAAACAGUUUCUUUUCCUUGUUCUGAGUAAAUGGAGUUGGAAGAAUUAUUCAUUUAUAUUGGCUUUUCUUUGUUCCUGGUAAUGAAGCAGGCAGACAGGGGUUGGCUUUAAAUGCUAUUUUUUCUACAUUUUCAUCAGUCAUAUUAGUAGCUGUUCUUUGGCAGAAAAAAAAAUCUGGUGAUCAGGAUUAAUUCAGAACCUAUUUACUGUGAGCCUUGUAUGUGCUUUCUCUGUGCCAGGUGGCAAUGAAGACCGUCUGUCAGGGGGAUCGGGGGGAUGUCCUGUCAAGACCCAGGGGAUGAAGUCAGGACCCAGCUUUUGCAUUUUGUAACUGUGGUUGAUGCAGGCCCACCAUCCUUUGUCCAAAAUUCUGGAUACGCAAGAAAACUGGAUACUGAACGUUGUUUUUGCCGCUAAUUGAAUGGGAAGACCUGACCCAAACUGACAGACUAUUGGAGUCCAUAUUUAUCCUGGGGAGUGUGAAUACUCAUGGGUUUCCCUGCAGAGAUAUUAAUGUUUGAUUAUGGGUGCUGCCUUGCUGGGGUGUUACAUAAUAUGUGGCAUAGGCACCACAUUCCCUUUCUAAAACUUGAAAAGUUCUGGAACACAUGGCCUGAAGGUUUGGAGUAAGAGACCCUGCCCUGGAGUAGCGUCCACUUAAGACUACAGCAGCCGUGUGCUCAGAGUCCCUGCUCUGCCAGGGCCCGUUUCCACUUCAGCCAUAGGAGGAGCCUGAAGGCAGAUUGAGAGUCCAGCUGACCAGUGGGUGAGAUGCCCAAACAGCUGUACCGCCACCAGGGCAGGUGACUUGGCUGCCCCAUGACCCUCAGAGGCCUUCCCUCACCAGGUGCCAAGCAAAGAUUGUUCAGAAGCAGAUUCUGUUCUGCUGUCAUUGUGAAUACAUCAAUGAAUGAGUACAUCUAUGUUCUAAUAAAACUUUAUGAGGGCCAGGUGCGGUGGCUCACACCUGUAAUUCCAGCACUUUGGGAGGCCGAGAUGGGCAGAUCACUGAAGGUCCAGAGUUUGAGACCAGCCUGGCCAACAUGGUGAAACCCUGUCUUUAUUAAAAAUACAAAAAGUAGCUGGACAUGAUGGCGGGUGCCUGUAAUCUCAGCUAUUUGGGAGGCUGAGGCAGGAGAAUCACUUGAACCCAGGAGGUGGAGGUUGCAGUGAGCUGAGUUUGUGCCGCCGCACUCCAGCCUGGGUGACAGAGUGAGACUCUGUCUCAAAAAAAAAAAAAAAACCCAAAAAACAAAACUUUAUGAAAACAGAUGGUGGGCUGGGAUGGCCCUUUGGCCAGAGUUUGCUGAUGCCUUGUCAAAACGAUAAAUGCAUCCUUAAACAUACUGUUUUCUUCCACAGACUUUAGCCCUGCCAUCUGCCUGCCUGGUCUGCUUGUCUUGUUCCCCACCCCUGGCCAAGUGGAGUUGCCUUAAAGAGAUAAAAGUUGUGCCUCUAGUGUCAGUACCCACCCCUUGCUUGGCUCCUCCAGAUGGUCUGGAAACAUAGAUGGAAAGCAGGCGCUGCCCUCACCGACCUGGCCUCGGUAGCAGGAGUGUGUUUUUGUGUGGACAACUGCAGUUGGGCCCAGGUCCAGCCUUGCUGACGGCUACUCACUUGGGCCUCCACCCACUGAUGAAUUUUGGGGGCAGAGCCAAGCCCCAAGAUAUGUUGGCUGGCAGCCUGGGGCCAGGCAGGGCUGCUGUUGUGGGAGCCCAGUCCCAGGUGGGUUUGUGAGGUGUACGGGGAGUGAGGGGUUGAGAAUGAGUGUUUUCAGAGCUGAUGUGUUCUUAGCAAAAGAAUUUCUGGCAGAGAGAGGUUGAUUAUCGUAAACCCAGCGGCUCUGAUGGAUGAGUUUCAGGUCUCCUGGCUUGUUCAUUCCCAGCCUCGGAAUGUCCAGCAAGGGCGGGGCCAGCCUGCGAGGCCAAGACCUCUUUUCACUGCAUCAGAAGUUUAAAUCCAGUUGAGCCCUCUGACUUGCACCUCUGUAGUGGUCUGGCCUGGGGAAGACUGGCUGGGGUGGACAGAAGGAGGGCGGGACCCUCAGAGCCCACUCUUCUAGUCUGUGUGCUGGAAUCACCCCUGUCCUCCCCAACCUCCAACCCCGUCAAGCUGCACCAAGGAUGUUUGGCCUCUGACUCAAAGAAGGCCUGGCCUUUCCAGGCUGCAGGGCCAGAUCCUCUCAGCCAGCCCCUGCAGCAGGCCCCAGCAUCCCAGAGAGGCAGCGGGUCCCUGUAUGUGCUCAGCACCUUCUCUCUGUAGGCGGUUUCUCUCCCAAGACAUUUGAGACUUUUGCCCUCUGCCUGGUCACCUUCUUUCCUAGCCAGGAUAGGGCUGGUGGAUGGUUUUGUUUUUUUUUUUCCUUAAAGCCAAUUCCAAACAAGGGCUGAUAUUUAGUUGGCCUUUCUUUUUCUUCUCUCAUGGUUUUGUGGGUUGCUGGCACUUUAGGGACUCUGUUCAGAGUGGAGCCUCCUUACUCUACAGCUCGCUGGUAAGCCCUGGUGGCCCAUCAGCCCACAGAAGGGGGCACUCACUCAGUAGAGACGGGGUUUCACUGUUAGCCAGGAUGGUCUCGAUCUCCUGACCUCAUGAUCUGCCCCUGCUUCGGCCUCCCAAAGUGCUGGGAUUACAGGCGUGAGCCACGGCGCCCGGCUGUCAGGUAUAAUUUUUGUAUUGUCUGUGUUAUUGACAUUCACAUUCUCUUCUCCACAAUGUUUGAUUGAUUGAUUGAUUGAUACAGGGUCUUGUUCUGUCACCCAGGCUUGAGUGCAGUGGUAUGAUCUUGGCUCACUGCAAGCCUGGGCUCAAGCGAUCCUCUCAUCUCAGCCUCCUGAGUAGCUGAGAUGACAGUCAUGCACCACCAUGUGUGGCUGAUUUUUGUAUUUUUUGUAGAGAUUGGGUCUCCCUAUGUUGCCCAGGCUAGUCUUGAACUCCUGGGCUCAAGUGAUCCACCCACAUCGUCCUCCCAAAGUGCUAGGAUUACAGGUGUGAGCCACUGCACCCGGACUGGUUAUUUUAUUUAUUAUUAUUUUAUUUAUUUAUUUUUUUGAGACAGGGUCUUGCUCUGUCUCCCAGGCUGGAGUGCAGUGGUGCAGUCAUAGCUCACUGCAGCCUUGACCUCCCAGGCUCAAGCAAUCCUCCCACCUUAGCUCCCCUAGUAACUGAGACUACAGGUGUUCACCACCACGCCUGCUAGUUUUUUAAUUUUCUGUAGAGACUGGGGUUUUACUAUGCAAGCUAUCCUCUUGCCUCAGCCUUCCAAAGCACUGGGAUUACAGGGAUGAGCCACCACGCCCAGCCUUCCACAAUAAAUGUUUAUAGCUUUGUCAACAGGUCGACUCAAAAGAUUCCCAAGAAACAACAUUUACAGGACUAUGAUUAUGAAACGCUGUUUACUGUAAACUCUUUUAGCCAAAGCUAGUUUGAUUUGGGUUUGUGUUGGUUAUGGCCAAUGUGUCCUGACUUAUACACUCAAGUUUUGUUGAGUCGAAUGAGGUGUGUCCACAUGCCUUCAAACACAAGCGGGGACAGAGCUCACCCCAGGCCACCUCUGUGGGCCUGCCACUCACGCAGUCACAACAGAGCCCACCACUAAAAGGGUUCUGUGCUUUGUUUAUGCUUUCACCAUGUUGAAAUUCUUAAUAAUUUUGAACAAAAGGCCCCAUAAAAUAUGUAGCUGGUUCUGAGCUCACCAUUUGCUGGGAGAGGCCUGUGCUUUCUGAGAAAUAGUCUCUCUCCUUGGCCAGGGCUAUGCUCCUGGGAGGGCCCUUAGGCAGGUCCGGAAGCAGCCAUAGAAAGUAAGAGGGAAAGGCUGUGAACCUGAGGGUUGACUUGGUGAAUGGACCUCACAUUGGGAGGUCAGACUGGGCUUCUCCAAGUCCCUCUUACAAAGAGGAAACUAACCUUGGUGAACCUGGGGCUGUGUCAAGGAGAUGGGAUUAUCCCUACAUUUACAGAGAAGCAUCAGGGCUGAAAGAUUUGCCCAAAGGCCACUGGUUAUAAAUGGCAGGUCCUAGAUUCAAGUCCAGGCCUGAUUCCUGCUCCACCGUGCAGCCUCCAGAUCAGUGCUGCGCAUGAAGCAGCAGACCUGGGUUUGAGUUCUUGCCCUGCUCCCAAUUUGCUGUGUGUCCUUUAGUGAGGGACUUGCCCUCUCUGGCCCACUUACCCUAGCAGUCCUUUGAGAGAGCUGAUCAACUACAAAAGUCCCUUUCAAACAGAAUCACUAUGUAACCAAAUCAUAGAGGAGAGGAAGUCUCUUUUAUAGAUGGAUUCCAGCUAAUAAAUGCUGAAUGAUUGAAAUAUAAUGUCAUUCUGAAGUCCUUAAUGAAUUAAUUGCUUGAAGCUUCCAUGGCUGCUAACAUCAGGAACAAAUAAUUGGACAUUAUGUGCCUCCUAAUAGAAGAAUUUGAUGCCAGCUAAGGACAUGGUCUUAUGUGUGUGUGUGUGUGUGUGUAUCUAUCUAUCUAUCUAUCUAUCUAUCUAUCUAUCUAUCUAUCUAUAACUUGAAUCUGAUCAAGCCUCUACUUCCAACUGCCAACUUUUAGGAAAAACAGAGGAUAGAGGAACAUGUUGAACUACACCACAGGGGAGCAAUCCACAAAACCCAGAUGGAGGAAAAUACCACAAGACAAACAACUCGUUUCCUCCAGUAAAUAAAUUGCAAGCAAAAACAAAACAAAAACCUUGCUGGGUGUGGCAGCUCACACCUGUAAUCCCAGCACUUUGGGAGGCCAAGGUGGGUGGAUCACCUGAGGUCAGGAGCUCGAGACCAGCCUGGCCAACAUGGUGAAACCCCGUCUCUACUAAAAAUACAAAAAUUAGCCAGGCGUGGUGGUGGGUGCCUGUAAUCCCAGCUACUCAGGAGACUGAGGCAGGAGAAUCGCUUGAACCUGGAAGGCAGAGGUUGCAGUGAGCCGAGAUCGCACCAAUGCACUCCAGCCUGGGCAACAAGAGCAAAACUCUGUCUCAAAAACAAAACAAAGCAAAACCUCUAGACCCAAAAACACUCAGAGAAUAUACUGACGACUGUAAUGUGUAGACCUCAUUUGGAUCAAAAUCUAAACAAACUGUCAAAAAGCAACUGUGUGACAAUUACAAAUUGGAACAUUGACCUGCUCUUUGAUAAUAAUAGCAACUAUUGUUAAUUUGUUUGUUGUGAUUAUGGCGCUUUGUUUUUUGGAAGGAAGAGUUCUUUUGAAGAUAUACCCUGAAAUAUUUAUGGAUGAAAUGAUGUCAUGCCUGAGAUUUGCUUCAAAACUGGCCGAGUGCAGUGGCUCACACCUGGAAUCGAGCACUUUGGGAGGCGGAGGUGGGUGGAUCACUUGAGGUCAGGAGUUUGAGACCAGCCUGGCCAACAUGGGAAAACCCCGUCUCUACUAAACAUACAAAAAUUAGCAGGAUGUGCAGUGGUGUGCACCUGUAGUCCCAGCUACUCAGGAGGCUGAGUCAGGAGAAUCGCUUGAACCCAGGAGGCAGAGGUUGCAGUGAGCUGAGAUUACACCACUGCACUCCAGCCUGGGCGACAGAGUGAGACUUCAUCUCAAAACACACACAUACACACACACACACACAGCGAGGAGGGAUGUGAAUGGGAAGGUGGGUGGGUCUGGAUGAGGCAGGAUGGGUCAUAGGUCGAUGAUUGUCACAGCUGAGUGGUGGGUAUAUCAGGGUUUGUUAUACCAUUGUCUCUUUGUGUGUGUGUAUAAUUUUCAGUUUCUAGCCCAUCGUAAGGGCCUGAGGGUGGGAGUUCUGCGGAUGGCUAGCCAUGCCAUCUCGGAGCAGGGGUGAGGGCAUGACUUUGGGCACACCAGGCCUCGCCUCUCACACCAGGCCUCGCCUCUCUCUCCCCACCUGCCUUGGCCAGGCUGGGCCCUGGAGUGUUGUGCUCACUAGUGCCCAGGCUCAGAUCUUUGUGUUUGGAUAAGCUCAUGGAACCAGACACUGUAAUUGUAGAACUCUGGCC